GUGAUCAUCGAAUCUUUGAACGCAAAUUGCGCUCCCUGGCAUCCCGGGGAGUAUGCCUGUUUGAGGGUCGGUAUAAGUAAUGAUCGAAGUGUUGCUUUUCGUGACAUUUCGGACUUGGGUUUUCUUAAUUUCUCUUUAAGAGACCUAAAAUUGAUGUGAUCUUGCGCAUCAUUGACGUUGUAAUUUUUUAUGUCGUCUUAGGAUGCCAGGUUUUUACUAGGUGUGAUCAUGUCGUUGAGCUCAUGCCUAUACAUAUCUCGUUUUCUGACCUCAAAUCAGGUAGGGAUACCCGCUGAACUUAAGCAUAUCAAUAAGCGGAGG
RNAcentral lists this ribosomal RNA (321 nucleotides) under Glomus sp. 1606 JG-2015. RNAcentral's name for it is "eukaryotic LSU rRNA". The stretch from base 1 to 70 matches the Rfam family "5.8S ribosomal RNA", at positions 85 to 154 of the family's 154-position model. The record is from RNAcentral. Lineage: Eukaryota; Fungi; Glomeromycota; Glomeromycetes; Glomerales; Glomeraceae.